RNAcentral lists this ribosomal RNA (1653 nucleotides) under Triticum aestivum (bread wheat). RNAcentral's name for it is "partial small subunit ribosomal RNA". The record is from RNAcentral. Lineage: Eukaryota; Viridiplantae; Streptophyta; Magnoliopsida; Poales; Poaceae.
AUGCUCCGCCGCCAGCGCCACUUCCUCCCGGCCAAGCCCCGCCGCCGCCCUCCGCCCCGCCCCAAACCCGCCGCCGAGCCCUCCGCCCCGACGUACACCCGCGACGUCGUCCGCCGCGUGACCAACAUACUCCGCGACCACCCCUGGUCGGCGGCGCGCCCGCUCCUCCUCUCCCUCCCGGGCCUCGUCUGGGACUCGCACGUCGUGGCGCGCGUCCUCAAGACCCACCCGCCCCUCCAGAAGGCCUUCCUCUUCUUCCGCCUCGCCGCCUCCUCCCCCACACCCGGGGCCGCCUUCCGCCACGACCGCUACACCUACACCUCCAUGCUCCACCUCCUCGGCGAGGCCGGCCGGGUCCCCGCCAUGCUCCGCCUGCUCGCCGAGAUGCUCCGCGCCGGGGUCGACCCCGACGCCGCCACGUUCACCACCGUCAUGCACUGGCUGGCGCGCGCCGGGGACGUGGACGCCGCGAUGCGGGUGUGGGAGGAGAUGCGCUCCCGCAGGGGGAAGUGCCGCCCCACGCUCGUCAGCUACACGGCCUGCGUCAAGAUCCUCUUCCACGCCGGGAGGGCCGCCGAGGGCAGGAGGGUGUUCGAGGAGAUGGUGGCCGAGGGGCUGCGGCCCAGCUGCACCACCUACACCGUGCUCAUCGAGCAUCUCGCUGACGCAGGAAAAUUCCAAGCUACUCUACAAAUUAUGAGUGACAUGCAAGAUGCAGGCGUAGAACCAGACAAGCCACUCUGCAAUAUUCUAGUCAAGAAGUGUGCCAGCGCUGGUGAGACGUCAGUGAUGACCUUCAUUCUUCAGCACAUGAAGGAGAAAGGCAUUGUUCUCCGUAGGCCUGUCUUUUUGGAAGCACUAGAAGCUCUAAAAGCUAGUGGUGAGAGCCCUAAUCUUCUUUGGGAAGUGAAUCCUCAUCUUGCAUCCGAAGGAAUGGAAUAUGACCCAACAUUUUCUCAUCGAAGCUACAUUACUUACAGAAGUACGAUUAUAUACCUUUUGGCUUCUAGAAACUGGUCUGCUAUCGAACAGAUGGUAAAUGAAUUGACCACGAGGAAUGUGAAGUUGGAAUCGCAUAUAAUAUCUGAUAUUAUUCAGGCCAGCUGCGCAAACUGCAGACCAUCAUGUGGACUCACAGUUCUGUACUAUAGCCUAAGAGUAGGCAGUGAACUUGACAGAUCUGCAUAUAGUUGCCUUCUUGGUCAGUACAUCAGAAAUAAUUCGUUUGAUUUGGUGUCUAAGAUUGUUGAAAGAUUGGUUAAACAUGGCUGCAAUCUUGGAGCAUAUCUGUUAUCUGUCUUAAUACUCAGACUGGGUUCUGCUGGGCAUUCUUCAUACGCGGCACAUAUCUUUGGGUUAUCACCUGCAGAGCAGAAUGUGAUUACCUACACUGCCCUUAUGAAUGCCUAUUUUCAAGCUGGCGAAGUUGAUAAGGCUCUUGAACUAUUCACACAGAUGAUAACUAAUGAGAUAUCUGCUUCUGCGGGUACAUAUGAAGUUCUGAUAUAUGGCUUACAAAAGGCUGGGCGGAAACAGGACUCUGACCGUUACCGAAGAGAAAGAAUGGAGAUGCAAUGGCAUCGUCAGUACCGUGACAAGCAUUCCCCUGAAGAUAGCUUAUGUGACCAUUUAUUUUGUGGCUUUCAUGGUUAG